CCCUCCCCAUCCAACUCACAACUCAAUUCAACCCAAGUCGGAGCGUUCCACCGUUGCUCAUCACCCCAACACCAUUACAUCUUCAGAUGUUCUUCCAAUUGGGGCAUGCCGCGGCGGAGGUGUGCGGCUCGUGGUCGGUGAGAUCGAACGGAGAAAAUGGAGGCCCAGAAAAUGAGUUUUCUUCAUCUUCGUGCGGCGGCGGCGGCAAUGGCGGUGAUACUUGGAAGCAGAGGUUUCUUCGAAGUUUUCAGGCCACGAUUGAUCAAAAUCCGCAGAGAAUUGAAGAUGGCCAUGUCUGACAGGAGAGGCUUCUUGAGGAAGAUGAAGGAUGAAGAACGAAGACGGGAAAGAGAAAAAAAAAAGAAAAAGAAAAGGAGAGAGAGAGAAGGGGAACGUGGGGGCAUUUCUGAGAAUUCACAUUUGAAAAUGGAGCAAAAAAUCGCACAAACCGCGUGAGCGACACGAUUUGUUCUUAGGGGGCUAGAUGCUUUGACUUUGUUUACACAGGG
RNAcentral lists this long non-coding RNA (509 nucleotides) under Erythranthe guttata (spotted monkey flower). RNAcentral describes it as "long non-coding RNA (EGUT_LNC003049)". The record is from RNAcentral. Lineage: Eukaryota; Viridiplantae; Streptophyta; Magnoliopsida; Lamiales; Phrymaceae.